Molecule: non-coding RNA, 284 nt
Organism: Pelobates cultripes (western spadefoot toad)
Lineage: Eukaryota; Metazoa; Chordata; Amphibia; Anura; Pelobatidae
Source: the annotation of a GenBank genome assembly
GGGAGAUCUACAAAGUCGUUGCUUAUGGUGAUGAUAUGUUAAUUUCAGUAGUAAACCCUUGUGAACCUAUUCUAGCAUUGUUCAAUUUGAUAGAAAAAUUGGGGGGAAUUUGGGCUAUAGAGUAAACAAUACUAAAUCUUGUGUGGUGCCCUUUCAUAUAUCGAUGCAAGAAGAAGAUAAUCAACUAAACUGUGACCUAGGGGGAAAAUCCAAAUAACAAGAACCAUACAUAACGUAAUACUGUAUUUUUAAGUAAACCAAAUGUAAGAUUCACAAGUGGCCAC